RNAcentral lists this transfer RNA (69 nucleotides) under Scotomedes sp. HL-2012. RNAcentral describes it as "tRNA-Met". The record is from RNAcentral. Lineage: Eukaryota; Metazoa; Arthropoda; Insecta; Hemiptera; Velocipedidae.
AAAAAGAUAAGCUAAUUAAGCUAUUAGGCCCAUACCCUGAAUAUAGAAGUUAUAGCCUUCUUCUUUUUA